AUGCCGUACUAUAGAAACCAAAGGAGUAUGGGUUUAAUGAAAAACUGGCAUACCCCUUCCAGAUUAACCCGCUUUCAUCUAGACUGCAUCACUUACCACCACGUAGAAUGGCAGUUAAAAGCUAACUUGUAUCUGCUU
This is a long non-coding RNA of Maniola jurtina (meadow brown), 138 nucleotides long. RefSeq lists it as uncharacterized. The record is from RefSeq and is a predicted model, not a curated record. The transcript has 2 exons. Lineage: Eukaryota; Metazoa; Arthropoda; Insecta; Lepidoptera; Nymphalidae.